UGGGGAAUUUUGGACAAUGGGCGAAAGCCUGAUCCAGCAAUGCCGCGUGUGUGAAGAAGGCCUUCGGGUUGUAAAGCACUUUUGUCCGGAAAGAAAUCCUUGGCUCUAAUACAGUCGGGGGAUGACGGUACCGGAAGAAUAAGCACCGGCUAACUACGUGCCAGCAGCCGCGGUAAUACGUAGGGUGCAAGCGUUAAUCGGAAUUACUGGGCGUAAAGCGUGCGCAGGCGGUUUGCUAAGACCGAUGUGAAAUCCCCGGGCUCAACCUGGGAACUGCAUUGGUGACUGGCAGGCUAGAGUAUGGCAGAGGGGGGUAGAAUUCCACGUGUAGCAGUGAAAUGCGUAGAGAUGUGGAGGAAUACCGAUGGCGAAGGCAGCCCCCUGGGCCAAUACUGACGCUCAUGCACGAAAGCGUGGGGAGCAAACAGGAUUAGAUACCCUGGUAGUCCACGCCCUAAACGAUGUCAACUAGUUGUUGGGGAUUCAUUUCCUAGUAACGUAGCUAACGCGUGAAGUUGACCGCCUGGGGAGUACGGUCGCAAGAUUAAAACUUAAAGGAAUUGACGGGGUCAUGCUG
RNAcentral lists this ribosomal RNA (577 nucleotides) under uncultured bacterium. Its description in RNAcentral is "partial 16S ribosomal RNA". It matches the Rfam family "Bacterial small subunit ribosomal RNA", at positions 355 to 926 of the family's 1533-position model. The record is from RNAcentral.